Long non-coding RNA from Oncorhynchus tshawytscha (Chinook salmon), 260 nucleotides. NCBI's taxonomy places the organism in Eukaryota, Metazoa, Chordata, Actinopteri, Salmoniformes, Salmonidae. The record is from Ensembl.
CCCACAUACACACAGUCUAACACGUGUAGCUGUGUGUGUCAGUCAUGUCUUUCCAGACCCCCCCCUCCCCACAUACACACAGUCUAACACGUCUAUGUGUGUCAGUCAUGUCUUUCCAGACCCCCCCCCCCCCCACAUACACACAGUCUAACACGUGUAGCUGUGUGUCAGUCAUGUCUUUCCAGACCCCCCCCCUCCCCACAUACACACAGUCUAACACGUGUAGCUAUGUGUGUCAGUCAUGUCUUUCCAGACCCCCC